UGACUUUUUGGAAUAUCCCAUGUAGUUCUGU
This 31-nucleotide non-coding RNA is filed under the name Rattus norvegicus (Norway rat). Lineage: Eukaryota; Metazoa; Chordata; Mammalia; Rodentia; Muridae. The record is from RNAcentral.